Molecule: transfer RNA, 76 nt
Filed under: Tepidimonas ignava
Lineage: Bacteria; Pseudomonadati; Pseudomonadota; Betaproteobacteria; Burkholderiales
Also listed under: 6 other names
Description: tRNA-Met
Rfam family: tRNA
About the family: Transfer RNA (tRNA) molecules are approximately 80 nucleotides in length.
Source: RNAcentral
GGCGGUGUAGCUCAGUUGGUCAGAGCAUCCGGCUCAUACCCGGAGCGCCGGGGUUCGAAUCCCUGCACCGCCACCA